CUGGGUCCUGCUCAGAGGGACUUAUUCAAGGAAGUGAUGCUGGACAAUUAUAGGAACCUGUUCUCCCUGGGGCUUCAAGUGUCCAAACCAGAUGUGAUCUUCCAGUUGGAAAGAGGAGAAUCACCAUGGAUGUUGGAGAGAAAAGACUCCAGUGACACCUCUCCAGAGUUCCUUAGUCAGAUGGCCAGGUAUGAAACAGCAGAGUCAACUGUAAAUCCAUCUGUUUCACCAGAAGAGUCAUCUAAGGAAAGAGUUCAGACUGAUGGUUCCUGGGAAUGCAAAAUGGGAGAAUCUUGUGAACAUGAUGUCAGAGUAGACCAAAAGAAUUGCAAUCAGGACGGACAAGCCAGUCAAGAGACAACUAUCCACAGAGAAAUUUCUUCUAACAAUAUCUUUGAAAGUUGUUUCAGUCUAGGGUCAAUCCUUGUUCCACAAGAGGGAGUUCACACCAGAAAAAAUCUUCAGAAGCAUAGUACAUACAAAAAGAACUUAAAACAGUUUUCAGACCUAGGUGAAUGUGAUAGAGUCUUUUGCAAGAAUAAUCUUUGCAAUUGUAAUAUAUGCAGCAAGUCAUUCAGUUAUCCUUCAGACAUUAUUCACUCUAAUAAAGAGCAUAGUAAAGAAAAAGUGUA
Molecule: long non-coding RNA, 632 nt
Organism: Trichosurus vulpecula (common brushtail)
Lineage: Eukaryota; Metazoa; Chordata; Mammalia; Diprotodontia; Phalangeridae
Exons: 3
Source: RefSeq, a predicted model, not a curated record